RNAcentral lists this ribosomal RNA (468 nucleotides) under uncultured bacterium. RNAcentral's name for it is "partial 16S ribosomal RNA". It matches the Rfam family "Bacterial small subunit ribosomal RNA", at positions 28 to 507 of the family's 1533-position model. The record is from RNAcentral.
GACGAACGCUGGCGGCGUGCUUAACACAUGCAAGUCGAACGGAAAGGCCCUGCUUUUGUGGGGUGCUCGAGUGGCGAACGGGUGAGUAACACGUGAGUAACCUGCCCUUGACUUUGGGAUAACUUCAGGAAACUGGGGCUAAUACCGGAUAGGAGCUCCUGCUGCAUGGUGGGGGUUGGAAAGUUUCGGCGGUUGGGGAUGGACUCGCGGCUUAUCAGCUUGUUGGUGGGGUAGUGGCUUACCAAGGCUUUGACGGGUAGCCGGCCUGAGAGGGUGGCCGGCCACAUUGGGACUGGGAUACGGCCCAGACUCCUACGGGAGGCAGCAGUGGGGAAUAUUGCACAAUGGGCGGAAGCCUGAUGCAGCAACGCCGCGUGCGGGAUGACGGCCUUCGGGUUGUAAACCGCUUUCGCCUGUGACGAAGCGUGAGUGACGGUAAUGGGUAAAGAAGCACCGGCUAACUACGUG